This 497-nucleotide ribosomal RNA is filed under the name uncultured bacterium. RNAcentral describes it as "partial 16S ribosomal RNA". It matches the Rfam family "Bacterial small subunit ribosomal RNA", at positions 28 to 507 of the family's 1533-position model. The record is from RNAcentral.
GAUGAACGCUGGCGGCGUGCCUAAUACAUGCAAGUCGAGCGAACGGACGAGAAGCUUGCUUCUCUGAUGUUAGCGGCGGACGGGUGAGUAACACGUGGAUAACCUACCUAUAAGACUGGGAUAACUUCGGGAAACCGUAUCUAAUACCGGAUAAUAUUUUGAACCGCAUGGUUCAAAAGUGAAAGACGGUCUUGCUGUCACUUAUAGAUGGAUCCGCGCUGCAUUAGCUAGUUGGUAAGGUAACGGCUUACCAAGGCAACGAUGCAUAGCCGACCUGAGAGGGUGAUCGGCCACACUGGAACUGAGACACGGUCCAGACUCCUACGGGAGGCAGCAGUAGGGAAUCUUCCGCAAUGGGCGAAAGCCUGACGGAGCAACGCCGCGUGAGUGAUGAAGGUCUUCGGAUCGUAAAACUCUGUUAUUAGGGAAGAACAUAUGUGUAAGUAACUGUGCACAUCUUGACGGUACCUAAUCAGAAAGCCACGGCUAACUACGUG